RNAcentral lists this ribosomal RNA (373 nucleotides) under uncultured organism. RNAcentral describes it as "bacterial SSU rRNA". It matches the Rfam family "Bacterial small subunit ribosomal RNA", at positions 526 to 896 of the family's 1533-position model. The record is from RNAcentral.
CGUAGGGUGCGAGCGUUGUCCGGAAUUAUUGGGCGUAAAGGGCUCGUAGGCGGUUUGUCACGUCGGGAGUGAAAACUCGGGGCUCAACCCCGAGCCUGCUUCCGAUACGGGCAGACUAGAGGUAUGCAGGGGAGAACGGAAUUCCUGGUGUAGCGGUGAAAUGCGCAGAUAUCAGGAGGAACACCGGUGGCGAAGGCGGUUCUCUGGGCAUUACCUGACGCUGAGGAGCGAAAGUGUGGGGAGCGAACAGGAUUAGAUACCCUGGUAGUCCACACCGUAAACGUUGGGCGCUAGGUGUGGGACUCAUUCCACGAGUUCCGUGCCGCAGCUAACGCAUUAAGCGCCCCGCCUGGGGAGUACGGCCGCAAGGCUA